AGUUGUGGCCACACCGUUCUGCGAGUGCCAGAUCCUGUCAGAUCUCAGAAGCUGAGCGGGGCUGGGCCUUGUUUGUACUUGGAUGGGAGACUGCCUUGGAAGGUAGAAGUACUGAGGUUG
Molecule: ribosomal RNA, 120 nt
Filed under: Mastacembelus armatus (zig-zag eel)
Lineage: Eukaryota; Metazoa; Chordata; Actinopteri; Synbranchiformes; Mastacembelidae
Source: RNAcentral